This 253-nucleotide ribosomal RNA is filed under the name uncultured bacterium. Its description in RNAcentral is "partial 16S ribosomal RNA". It matches the Rfam family "Bacterial small subunit ribosomal RNA", at positions 524 to 776 of the family's 1533-position model. The record is from RNAcentral.
UACGUAGGGUGCAAGCGUUACUCGGAAUUACUGGGCGUAAAGCGUGCGCAGGCGGUUCUAUAAGUCAGAUGUGAAAGCCCCGGGCUCAACCUGGGAACUGCAUUUGUGACUGUAGAGCUGGAGUACGGCAGAGGGGGAUGGAAUUCCGCGUGUAGCAGUGAAAUGCGUAGAUAUGCGGAGGAACACCGAUGGCGAGGGCAAUCCCCUGGGCCUGUACUGACGCUCAUGCACGAAAGCGUGGGGAGCAAACAGG